Molecule: unclassified non-coding RNA, 207 nt
Filed under: Hevea brasiliensis (rubber tree)
Lineage: Eukaryota; Viridiplantae; Streptophyta; Magnoliopsida; Malpighiales; Euphorbiaceae
Source: RNAcentral
UUGACGGUUGAUGAUGCGGAUGGUUGUCUUGUGAAUGGAUGCGCAUGAAGUUGAGCCUUACUUGUUUGCGUGGACUUGGUUUGCUUUACCUUGCGUGGGAUUGCUACUUGUUGUGAGGUUAGUAAUUUGUUGCUUUCCUUAUGUUGCCUUGCCGUGAAUGGUCACUUGUUGCUUGUAUAUUGCGCAUGGGAUGUUGUUGCCGUGAAU